This 497-nucleotide ribosomal RNA is filed under the name uncultured bacterium. Its description in RNAcentral is "partial 16S ribosomal RNA". It matches the Rfam family "Bacterial small subunit ribosomal RNA", at positions 28 to 507 of the family's 1533-position model. The record is from RNAcentral.
GAUGAACGCUGGCGGCGUGCCUAAUACUUGCAAGUCGAGCGAACAGACGAGGAGCUUGCUCCUCUGACGUUAGCGGCGGACGGGUGAGUAACACGUGGAUAACCUACCUAUAAGACUGGGAUAACUUCGGGAAACCGGAGCUAAUACCGGAUAAUAUAUUGAACCGCAUGGUUCAAUAGUGAAAGACGGUUUUGCUGUCACUUAUAGAUGGAACCGCGCCGCAUUAGCUAGUUGGUAAGGUAACGGCUUACCAAGGCAACGAUGCGUAGCCGACCUGAGAGGGUGAUCGGCCACACUGGAACUGAGACACGGUCCAGACUCCUACGGGAGGCAGCAGUAGGGAAUCUUCCGCAAUGGGCGAAAGCCUGACGGAGCAACGCCGCGUGAGUGAUGAAGGUCUUCGGAUCGUAAAACUCUGUUAUUAGGGAAGAACAAAUGUGUAAGUAACUAUGCACGUCUUGACGGUACCUAAUCAGAAAGCCACGGCUAACUACGUG